ACACUCCUACGGGAGGCAGCAGUAGGGAAUCUUCCACAAUGGGUGCAAACCUGAUGGAGCAAUGCCGCGUGAGUGAAGAAGGUCUUCGGAUCGUAAAGCUCUGUUGUUAGAGAAGAACACGUGCUAGGUAACUACUAGCGCCUUGACGGUAUCUAACCAGAAAGUCACGGCUAACUACGUGCCAGCAGCCGCGGUAAUACGUAGGUGACAAGCGUUGUCCGGAUUUAUUGGGCGUAAAGGGAGCGCAGGCGGUCUGUUUAGUCUAAUGUGAAAGCCCACGGCUUAACCGUGGAACGGCAUUGGAAACUGACAGACUUGAAUGUAGAAGAGGAAAAUGGAAUUCCAAGUGUAGCGGUGGAAUGCGUAGAUAUUUGGAGGAACACCAGUGGCGAAGGCGAUUUUCUGGUCUAACAUUGACGCUGAGGCUCGAAAGCGUGGGGAGCGAACAGGAUUAGAAACCCCAGUAGUCCCAUGA
Molecule: ribosomal RNA, 475 nt
Filed under: uncultured organism
Description: partial 16S ribosomal RNA
Rfam family: Bacterial small subunit ribosomal RNA
Source: RNAcentral